AUGUUUCAAAAACGUUUUGGCAACCUGAUAAACCUCAAAUAUUUAGCCUUGUUUCAAAACCAAAUUUCGGGAUCAAUACCAAAAACUUUUGGCAAGUUGCAAAGCAUCCAAAACAUGUUAAUGUUUAGCAACAAAUUAUCAGGUUCUCUUCCUCAAGAAUUUGGAAAUCUCGUAAGCCUUGUUCACCUUGAGGUGGCAAACAACUCACUUUCAGGACAUUUACCUGCAAAUAUAUGUUCAAGUGGAGGACUAAAAUCUCUCGCUAUCGCUUCUAAUAUGUUCAAUGGCCCAAUUCCAAGGAGUUUAAAGACAUGUACAAGUUUGGUUAAAAUUGACCUUCAGUCGAACAAACUAACAGGAGAUAUAUCUCAUCAUUUUGGUGUGUAUCCACAACUCAUAUGGAUGGGCUUGUCAACGAAUAGACUCUCUGGGCAGAUCUCAUCAAGUCUAUGUGCAUGUACCCAACUAACGAUACUACAUCUAGGAAAUAAUAUGAUCACAGGUUCCAUACCUCCAAUCCUUUCUAAAUUGUCCAACCUAGUAGCACUAACACUCAAUUCUAAUCAUCUCAGCGGCGAGAUUCCUCCAGAAAUCUGUACUUUAGCAAAUCUAUAUAGCCUCAACUUAUCAUCGAACCAGUUAUUUGGAUCCAUACCUACACAGAUAGAAAAGCUAAGCAAUAUAGGAUACCUUAAUAUAUCUGGGAACAGACUAAGUGGAUCAAUACCUGAGGAACUAGGGGCAUGCAAGAAACUACAGUCCUUGAAGAUCGGCAACAACCAAUUCAACGGGAGUUUGCCUGGUGUGGUUGGAAAUUUAGCAGGCCUGCAAAUCAUGUUAGAUGUGAGCAACAAUAACCUCAGUGGUGUUUUGCCGCAGCAACUUGGGAAGUUGGAGAUGCUGGAAUCUCUCAAUUUAUCACAUAAUCAGUUCAGUGGAAGCAUUCCAUCCUCCAUUGCAAACAUGCUGAGCCUUUCAACACUUGAUGUGUCCUACAAUGACUUGGAAGGACCAGUCCCAACAGCACGGCUACUCCAAAAUGCUUCAGCAAGUUGGUUUCUUCCCAAUAAAGGUCUCUGUGGUAACCUCUCUGGCUUGCCACCUUGUUAUUCAACCCAAGUAGCUGCUCACCAAAAAGGGAAGAUACUUGGUUUGCUUUUGUCCAUUGCUCUUGUGAUGGGUUUCGGCAUUGUUGCUGCAAUUGUUGUCAUAAUAAUACUUACUCGUAAGAAGAGAAAUCCACAAGAAAGUGUUACCUCUGAAGCAAGGGACCUAUUCUCUGUUCGGAAUUUUGACGGAAGACUGGUAUUUGACGAUAUUGUAAGGGCAACAGAAGACUUUGAUGAUAAGUACAACAUUGGAACCGGAGGAUACGGCAAAGUCUACAAGGCACAACUCCAAGACGGGCAGCUGGUUGCUGUGAAGAAGCUUCAUCAGACCGAAGAAGAGUUGGAUGAUGAAAGAAGAUUUCGCAGUGAAAUGGAAAUCUUAACACAGAUCCGACAACGAAGCAUUGUCAAAAUGUAUGGAUUCUGCUCCCAUCCAGCAUAUAAAUUUCUCGUCUACGACUACAUUCAGUAGGGAAGCCUCCAUGGAAUAUUGGAAAAUGAGGAGCUAUCGAAGGAAUUAGAUUGGAAGAAGAGAAUUGCCCUGGCAACUGAUGUGGCUCAAGCAAUAUCUUAUUUGCACGAUGAAUGCAGUCCACCUAUAAUCCAUCGAGAUAUCACAAGCAACAACAUCUUACUUGAUACAUCCUUCAAGGCUUUUGUCUCGGAUUUCGGCACGGCAAGGAUUCUUAAGCCCGAUUCGUCAAACUGGAGUGCACUAGCAGGAACCUUUGGCUACAUAGCUCCUGAACUGUCGUACACAUCUGUUGCGACAGAGAAAUGUGAUGUCUAUAGCUUUGGGGUGGUUGUGUUAGAGCUAGUGAUGGGCAAGCAUCCAAGGAAUCUAUUAGAUGGUAGUCUUUCUAACGGCGAACAAUCAAUGAUGGUGAAAGAUAUUCUGGACCAACGGCCGACAACACCAAUAACAACAGAAGAGAAUAACUUAGCUCUGCUCAUCAAGUUGGCCUUAUCUUGUUUGGAAUCUUCUCCCCAAGCAAGGCCAACCAUGCAGGAGGUAUACCAAACACUCAUCCAGCGACCAUCUUCUAGUUCUUGUUCUGUGCCUUUCAGCGCGCUUAUAUUACAGCAAGGGAUGCAUGCUGAUAUAAGGUCUGAAUCCUAGUGAGAAACCAGGGUCUGUCAAAGCAGAGGCCGAUUCAGAUUUCCGAUUUUUUAUUCAAGUCACUCAUACACCACCUAUAUAUAUACCUCUUGUAUGCCAUGCCAUGCCACACAGGAUGAGUUGACGACUCAUUGUAAGUCUAUGUAUUUGUAGAUUCUCCUGAUACAGCAAAAGAUCACCGUUGUGUGCCCGUGGUUUUUCCCGCAAGGGUUUUCCACGUAAAAAUGUGUGUCCAGUCCCGUGUUCUUGAUAUUUCUGUUUGCUUGCUGAUUUCAUAAAUAUAAUUUGGUUUGCGGGUUGCUUAUAUUUGUUAAAGACUGUAGUAUCCACAUGUGACACUUUCUUUCGGCUGUUGUCUGUAGGGUACUUAAAUGUGUCCUAAUAUUUGUCUCUUUUAUCUACUAUUGCUUGCAUAUAACCUAAUAAAGAUUGAAAAAAAUGAAAUCCAAAACUCGCGCAGUACCAUGUUGUCCUGCUUUAUUUAUUCCAUAUGGGAAUCAAGAUCAAAUAUCUUGGACCAAGCAGGAAUAAUCACAAUGCAUAAACGGAACGAAAUGAAUGUAAGCACAUUGGAGAUAUAUAGGUGCAUAAAAAAAGAGAAGUACCACAAUAUACUAAGUAAAAGGACUUACAGAGGAUUGUAGGGCAGGAGUAUGUAGUCCUUUUCCUUAUUAUUGCUCCCAUGAACCUGAAGGUGAAAAAAUGGAAUCCAAAACUGACACGUUAUCAUGUCAUCCUGCUUUAUUGUUCUCUGGGUAUCAAAGUAAAAUACCUUGUGCCAAGCAGGAAUAAUCACAAUGAUCAAGUGUUCGAUGCGUAAACGGAACAAAUGAAUGUGAACAAACGGAUAUAGGUGCAUAAAACAAGAAAAGUACAACAGUACUAGGUAAAAAAGCUUACGGAGGAUUGUAGGGCACACAUAUGUAUCCUUGUCCUUAGGAUGGAGGAUGUGUAGUCCUUGUCCUUAGGAUCGAGCAAUAGAUAAUUUACUACUUCACUUAAUUUCAAGCACUUGUAACGAGAUUUUCAUGGAACAAAGAUACAACCUUCUUUUUCUUGAUGCCUAAUACAAACUUAACCAAGGAUGAGAUCAGAUGAUAGGAAAA
This 3335-nucleotide ribosomal RNA is filed under the name Triticum aestivum (bread wheat). RNAcentral describes it as "partial small subunit ribosomal RNA". Lineage: Eukaryota; Viridiplantae; Streptophyta; Magnoliopsida; Poales; Poaceae. The record is from RNAcentral.